This 890-nucleotide ribosomal RNA is filed under the name Haemophilus influenzae. RNAcentral's name for it is "bacterial SSU rRNA". It matches the Rfam family "Bacterial small subunit ribosomal RNA", at positions 1 to 880 of the family's 1533-position model. Lineage: Bacteria; Pseudomonadati; Pseudomonadota; Gammaproteobacteria; Pasteurellales; Pasteurellaceae. The record is from RNAcentral.
UUGAAUUGAAGAGUUUGAUCAUGGCUCAGAUUGAACGCUGGCGGCAGGCUUAACACAUGCAAGUCGAACGGUAGCAGGAGAAAGCUUGCUUUCUUGCUGACGAGUGGCGGACGGGUGAGUAAUGCUUGGGAAUCUGGCUUAUGGAGGGGGAUAACGACGGGAAACUGUCGCUAAUACCGCGUAUUAUCGGAAGAUGAAAGUGCGGGACUGAGAGGCCGCAUGCCAUAGGAUGAGCCCAAGUGGGAUUAGGUAGUUGGUGGGGUAAAGGCCUACCAAGCCUGCGAUCUCUAGCUGGUCUGAGAGGAUGACCAGCCACACUGGAACUGAGACACGGUCCAGACUCCUACGGGAGGCAGCAGUGGGGAAUAUUGCGCAAUGGGGGGAACCCUGACGCAGCCAUGCCGCGUGAAUGAAGAAGGCCUUAGGGUUGUAAAGUUCUUUCGGUAUUGAGGAAGGUUGAUGUGUUAAUAGCACAUCAAAUUGACGUUAAAUACAGAAGAAGCACCGGCUAACUCCGUGCCAGCAGCCGCGGUAAUACGGAGGGUGCGAGCGUUAAUCGGAAUAACUGGGCGUAAAGGGCACGCAGGCGGUUAUUUAAGUGAGGUGUGAAAGCCCUGGGCUUAACCUAGGAAUUGCAUUUCAGACUGGGUAACUAGAGUACUUUAGGGAGGGGUAGAAUUCCACGUGUAGCGGUGAAAUGCGUAGAGAUGUGGAGGAAUACCGAAGGCGAAGGCAGCCCCUUGGGAAUGUACUGACGCUCAUGUGCGAAAGCGUGGGGAGCAAACAGGAUUAGAUACCCUGGUAGUCCACGCUGUAAACGCUGUCGAUUUGGGGGUUGGGGUUUAACUCUGGCGCCCGUAGCUAACGUGAUAAAUCGACCGCCUGGGGAG